UACGGAGGGUGCAAGCGUUAUCCGGAUUUACUGGGUUUAAAGGGUGCGUAGGUGGGCAGUUAAGUCAGUGGUGAAAUCUCCGAGCUUAACUCGGAAACUGCCAUUGAUACUAUCUGUCUUGAAUUAUCUGGAGGUGAGCGGAAUAUGUCAUGUAGCGGUGAAAAUGCUUAGAUAUACAUAGAACACCUAUUGCGAAGGCAGCUUACUACGCAUAUAUUGACGCUGAGGCACGAAAGCGUGGGGAUCAAACAGG
This 253-nucleotide ribosomal RNA is filed under the name uncultured bacterium. RNAcentral describes it as "partial 16S ribosomal RNA". It matches the Rfam family "Bacterial small subunit ribosomal RNA", at positions 524 to 776 of the family's 1533-position model. The record is from RNAcentral.